GUCUCUGUGGCGCAAUCGGUUAGCG
This 25-nucleotide non-coding RNA is filed under the name Xenopus tropicalis (tropical clawed frog). RNAcentral also lists the same sequence under 3 other names. The record is from RNAcentral. Lineage: Eukaryota; Metazoa; Chordata; Amphibia; Anura; Pipidae.